RNAcentral lists this ribosomal RNA (179 nucleotides) under uncultured Methanosaeta sp. RNAcentral describes it as "partial 16S ribosomal RNA". It matches the Rfam family "Archaeal small subunit ribosomal RNA", at positions 1159 to 1338 of the family's 1478-position model. The record is from RNAcentral. Lineage: Archaea; Methanobacteriati; Methanobacteriota; Methanomicrobia; Methanotrichales; Methanotrichaceae.
AAUAUCCCGGGCUACACGCGAGCUACAAUGGUUGGUACAAUGGGUAUCUACCCCGAAAGGGGACGGGAAUCUCCUAAAACCAAUCUUAGUUCGGAUUGAGGCUGCAACUCGCCCUCAUGAAGCUGGAAUCCGUAGUAAUCGCGUUUCAACAGAACGCGGUGAAUACGUCCCUGCUCCUU